RNAcentral lists this small nuclear RNA (99 nucleotides) under Microtus ochrogaster (prairie vole). Lineage: Eukaryota; Metazoa; Chordata; Mammalia; Rodentia; Cricetidae. The record is from RNAcentral.
CUGGCUUUGGCGGGACAUGCUAAAACUGGAACAAUGCAUGGAUUGGGAUGGUUCCUACACAAGAAUGACAGGUGAAUGUGUAAGGUGUUCCAUCUUCUU